AGGAAGUUAGUCCAAAUACAAGACCUCUGAUUUCGGCUCAGAAAAUCGCGGUUAAAUCCGCGACUCCCUU
RNAcentral lists this transfer RNA (70 nucleotides) under Auchenoglanis occidentalis (giraffe catfish). Its description in RNAcentral is "tRNA-Arg". It matches the Rfam family "tRNA". From Rfam's summary of the family: Transfer RNA (tRNA) molecules are approximately 80 nucleotides in length. Lineage: Eukaryota; Metazoa; Chordata; Actinopteri; Siluriformes; Auchenoglanididae. The record is from RNAcentral.